CUCCCGAUCGGGGCCUUUCGGGGAGGGUUGCGCAGAGCCCGGCUGCCGCCUUCUUGCUUGACGCCGGUCAGGUGUGUGGCUUCAGCUCUGAGCUCUUCCGCCUGCCGUGGGAAAGGUGUGGAGAAAUUACUCUUCAACCACGCAGCCGGGGAUGUCCAGGCUUGGUGUGUUAUGGAUUUGAGUCAGACAGGGCAUGCAAGAGUGUGCAGGCGGAUGGGCAAGGAGAGGAGCAAGGGUUCCCUGUAUGGGAAGGAUACCUCCUGGAUCUCAAGCCCUGCCCAGAGCCUGAACCAGUCUACUGCUUUUCCUGGGUGCCUGCCACAAAGGUUACCUCCCUGCUGAGAUCCUGGCAUGCUCCCAGUCCUCUGCAGCCCGAGCUUCUUUCAAGCUCACAUACCCAGAGCUCACCGCUGUAAUUAUG
This is a long non-coding RNA of Gallus gallus (chicken), 421 nucleotides long. The record is from Ensembl. NCBI's taxonomy places the organism in Eukaryota, Metazoa, Chordata, Aves, Galliformes, Phasianidae.